UGGUUGGCUCAUCAGUUUCCACUACAAUGGCUCUGAGCCUGCUUCUUCUUAGCAUCCUGGUCUGUAUCGGUCCAAGUUUCCAGCAACUGCAGCCUUUGAAACCUUCAGAGACGGUGUCUCUAGGGGGGUCCAUCACCCUGUCUUGCAGAUCUAGCAGUGGAACCAUCUCUAGUAGCAAUUACCCCCUAUGGGUCCAACAGAGCCCAGGGAAAACUCCAAGGACUCUUAUAUAUGACACCAGUACCAGAGUAGCUGGCAUCCCAGACCGUUUCAGUGGGUCAAGGUCUGGGAACACGAUGUCCCUGGCAAUCAAUGGGGCCCAGGCAGAAGAUGAAGCUGAUUAUUUCUGUGCUGUGUGGGCUGGGAGUGCGCGGCACAGCGAUUCAUUCAAAUGA
Sphaerodactylus townsendi is the source of this 395-nucleotide non-coding RNA. Lineage: Eukaryota; Metazoa; Chordata; Lepidosauria; Squamata; Sphaerodactylidae. The record is from the annotation of a RefSeq genome assembly.